GGUACUUGUUCUAUACCCUAGGCUGGCCCAGAAGUAAUGGGAAUCUUCCUGCUUCAGCCUCCAGAGUGUUGUGAUUACAGGGUCUCUCACUGGCUUGGAGGUUACCAAGUAGGCUACAAUUGUUGGCCACAGAGCCCUGUGGAGCCACUGUCUCUGUCUCCCCACUGUUGAGAUUGCAAGCAGGUACUACCAUGCCUAGCUUUUUAAAAGUAUGGAUUCUAAGACUUAUUGCCUCAUGCUGAAAAGUUCCCAUCAAGUUUAUAAAAACAACCAAGUUGAGACUCUUCCUUCCCCCUCCACCGGCCCGACCUCUCCUAAGGUUCCUCCCAAAGUCCAUGGAAGCUUCUCCGAACUCCAGGAAUCUUCCGAACUUCCCUGGCAUCCUCGUUGGCUAAGGACUUGGAGUGGAGGGAACCUGGUGGGAGACUGUGCCCACGGCUUAGGAGACACGGUGUUCCAAACGCUUCAUUCAUCCCACUCAUCUUUGGGCAGCUUUACUGAGCACCCUGGAAGCCUCUGCUCUUCUGAACUCGGCUUUCCAUCUCGCCCUGCACAUGGAUCUACAUGCCUGAGACCUACUGGACCUUGCUGGUUGUUUUGCAAAACUCAGGAGAGCAACCCACGGAGGUUGGAGUUCAGG
Molecule: long non-coding RNA, 640 nt
Filed under: Cricetulus griseus (Chinese hamster)
Lineage: Eukaryota; Metazoa; Chordata; Mammalia; Rodentia; Cricetidae
Description: lncRNA (ENSCGRG00015019257.2)
Source: RNAcentral